This 478-nucleotide ribosomal RNA is filed under the name uncultured bacterium. Its description in RNAcentral is "partial 16S ribosomal RNA". It matches the Rfam family "Bacterial small subunit ribosomal RNA", at positions 28 to 523 of the family's 1533-position model. The record is from RNAcentral.
GACGAACGCUGGCGGCGUGCUUAACACAUGCAAGUCGAACGGUAAGGCCCUUCGGGGUACACGAGUGGCGAACGGGUGAGUAACACGUGGGUGAUCUGCCCUGCACUUCGGGAUAAGCCUGGGAAACUGGGUCUAAUACCGUAUAGGCCAACUGCCUGCAUGGGUGGUGGUGGAAAGCUUUUGCGGUGUGGGAUGGGCCCGCGGCCUAGCAGCUUGUUGGUGGGGUGAGGGCCUACCAAGGCGACGACGGGUAGCCGGCCUGAGAGGGUGACCGGCCACACUGGGACUGAGAUACGGCCCAGACUCCUACGGGAGGCAGCAGUGGGGAAUAUUGCACAAUGGGCGCAAGCCUGAUGCAGCGACGCCGCGUGAGGGAUGACGGCCUUCGGGUUGUAAACCUCUUUCAGCACCGACGAAGCGCAAGUGACGGUAGGUGCAGAAGAAGGACCGGCCAACUACGUGCCAGCCGCCGCGGUAA